Molecule: ribosomal RNA, 469 nt
Filed under: uncultured bacterium
Lineage: Bacteria
Description: bacterial SSU rRNA
Rfam family: Bacterial small subunit ribosomal RNA
Source: RNAcentral
CUCGAGGACGAACGCUGGCGGCGUGCUUAACACAUGCAAGUCGAGCGAUGAAGCACCUUCGGGUGUGAAUUAGCGGCGAACGGGUGAGGAACACGUGAGGAAUCUGCCUUCUACGCUGGGAUAACUCCGGGAAACCGGGGCUAAUACCGGAUAUGAAACUUGGUGGCAUCACCGAGUUUGGAAAGUUUUUCGGUAGAAGAUGACCUCGCGGCCUAUCAGCUUGUUGGUGAGGUAAUAGCUCACCAAGGCGACGACGGGUAGCCGGCCUGAGAGGGCGACCGGCCACACUGGGACUGAGACACGGCCCAGACUCCUACGGGAGGCAGCAGUGGGGAAUAUUGGGCAAUGGAGGAAACUCUGACCCAGCGACGCCGCGUGCGGGAUGAAGGCCUUCGGGUUGUAAACCGCUUUCAGUAGGGAAGAAGCGAAAGUGACGGUACCUACAGAAGAAGCACCGGCUAACUAUGUG